GUCUUUAGAAAAACAUACUGUCAUCGCCUGGGUUGAAAUUCAGUGCCCAGAGCCACCAGGAGCUUCAGCUCACCUCCCACUGCCACGGUGUGGGAGGGUGAAACCCAGGCCCCAACAAGC
RNAcentral lists this small nucleolar RNA (120 nucleotides) under Nannospalax galili (Upper Galilee mountains blind mole rat). RNAcentral's name for it is "Small nucleolar RNA ACA64 (ENSNGAG00000008098.1)". It matches the Rfam family "Small nucleolar RNA ACA64". The record is from Rfam by way of RNAcentral. Lineage: Eukaryota; Metazoa; Chordata; Mammalia; Rodentia; Spalacidae.